Tachyglossus aculeatus (Australian echidna) is the source of this 138-nucleotide small nucleolar RNA. The record is from RefSeq and is a predicted model, not a curated record. Lineage: Eukaryota; Metazoa; Chordata; Mammalia; Monotremata; Tachyglossidae.
CACCUCUCAGGGUCACACCUGGAGAAUUUCCAGGACUCUACCAGUCUCGACUAUGGGAGGGAGAGUCAAGCAGAGGCACAUCCACUCCACUCCUAGCUUGGGCGGUGGCUAGUAAAUGGAAGGCAGUCUGCUGCAAGU